This is a long non-coding RNA of Bos taurus (domestic cattle), 795 nucleotides long. The record is from Ensembl. Lineage: Eukaryota; Metazoa; Chordata; Mammalia; Artiodactyla; Bovidae.
ACGCUCACGUGAGUGGGCGUGGUCACUCGGUAGGCCGGGCCGGAGGGGCUUAGAAGGUAAUAGCAGCGUGAGUUCUUCACUCGCAACUUUCUAGGCGGGGGGCCUCUACCCUUCCUCCGCAGACCGCGCUGUUCUCUCGUUUCCUGCCUUGCUCCCACUGCCGACUCCACGCCGCUCCUCCGGAGAAAGUGCGGGCCUCCCCUCCGGCCCGACGCCAGGCUCCUCCUGCGCGAUCCCACCUGCGCGAAGGAGGCGAGAACGCGCGCAGCGCUCCUCUCAGCAUUACUCUCCGCAGCUUCUUUGGCUGCUCUUAAUAACACACCUUGAUUGAGCACCUUAUGAUGAGUCAAGUUACGUUUCAGCAACCAUGACCUGAGAAUCUAUGUCUUUCACACAUUUUGCCUGGUACCUUGCCUUUGACUGUCACUGGUGUGGACCAAGCUUUUCACCUCUCAGCUCUGGGACUCAGGGCAAGUCCUGCCACCCGUUGUGACCUGCUGGCUUCAUCCUGUUUGAGUCUUUGUUCCAGUUGCCAGACCAUCUGGGGUUCUUGCUUAGACUCUUUUUCCAAGGUCACCAGAAGUGCAGUCUUCAUGAGGGAGUUCUCAGAUCGUCCUCUUCCUUCCACUGUGCUUGCUAAGCAUUUGCUGUUCAUCACGUGUGACCAUGGGGCUGUCUGUCUCAUUCUGCUCGUGAGGCCCUGUGGCUUCUGUGUGUUUCUCAUUUAAGCAUUGUAACUUUUCUGGCCGUGGCCUCUCUGUUCUUCCCACAGAUGGUUAUGGAAAGAGUUUUCAA